RNAcentral lists this transfer RNA (73 nucleotides) under Gemmatimonadota bacterium. RNAcentral's name for it is "Gemmatimonadetes bacterium (beach sand metagenome) tRNA-Lys". It matches the Rfam family "tRNA". From Rfam's summary of the family: Transfer RNA (tRNA) molecules are approximately 80 nucleotides in length. Their secondary structure includes four short double-helical elements and three loops (D, anti-codon, and T loops). Lineage: Bacteria; Pseudomonadati; Gemmatimonadota. RNAcentral also lists the same sequence under 1 other name. The record is from RNAcentral.
GCCCUGCUAGCUCAACUGGUAGAGCAUCCGACUCUUAAUCGGCAGGUUCGGGGUUCGAGUCCCUGGCGGGGCA